RNAcentral lists this ribosomal RNA (1439 nucleotides) under uncultured organism. RNAcentral describes it as "SSU rRNA". It matches the Rfam family "Bacterial small subunit ribosomal RNA". The record is from RNAcentral.
UACAGGCUUAACACAUGCAAGUCGAGGGGCAUCAGGAAGAAAGCUUGCUUUCUUUGCUGGCGACCGGCGCACGGGUGAGUAACACGUAUCCAACCUGCCCUUUACUCGGGGAUAGCCUUUCGAAAGAAAGAUUAAUACCCGAUGGCAUAAUGAUUCCGCAUGGUUUCAUUAUUAAAGGAUUCCGGUAAAGGAUGGGGAUGCGUUCCAUUAGGUUGUUGGUGAGGUAACGGCUCACCAAGCCUUCGAUGGAUAGGGGUUCUGAGAGGAAGGUCCCCCACAUUGGAACUGAGACACGGUCCAAACUCCUACGGGAGGCAGCAGUGAGGAAUAUUGGUCAAUGGGCGCUAGCCUGAACCAGCCAAGUAGCGUGAAGGAUGAAGGCUCUAUGGGUCGUAAACUUCUUUUAUAUAAGAAUAAAGUGCAGUAUGUAUACUGUUUUGUAUGUAUUAUAUGAAUAAGGAUCGGCUAACUCCGUGCCAGCAGCCGCGGUAAUACGGAGGAUCCGAGCGUUAUCCGGAUUUAUUGGGUUUAAAGGGAGCGUAGGUGGACUGGUAAGUCAGUUGUGAAAGUUUGCGGCUCAACCGUAAAAUUGCAGUUGAUACUGUCAGUCUUGAGUACAGUAGAGGUGGGCGGAAUUCGUGGUGUAGCGGUGAAAUGCUUAGAUAUCACGAAGAACUCCGAUUGCGAAGGCAGCUCACUGGACUGCAACUGACACUGAUGCUCGAAAGUGUGGGUAUCAAACAGGAUUAGAUACCCUGGUAGUCCACACAGUAAACGAUGAAUACUCGCUGUUUGCGAUAUUACAGUAAGCGGCCAAGCGAAAGCAUUAAGUAUUCCACCUGGGGAGUACGCCGGCAACGGUGAAACUCAAAGGAAUUGACGGGGGCCCGCACAAGCGGAGGAACAUGUGGUUUAAUUCGAUGAUACGCGAGGAACCUUACCCGGGCUUAAAUUGCAGUGGAAUGAUGUGGAAACAUGUCAGUGAGCAAUCACCGCUGUGAAGGUGCUGCAUGGUUGUCGUCAGCUCGUGCCGUGAGGUGUCGGCUUAAGUGCCAUAACGAGCGCAACCCUUAUCUUUAGUUACUAACAGGUUAUGCUGAGGACUCUAGAGAGACUGCCGUCGUAAGAUGUGAGGAAGGUGGGGAUGACGUCAAAUCAGCACGGCCCUUACGUCCGGGGCUACACACGUGUUACAAUGGGGGGUACAGAAGGCAGCUAGCGGGUGACCGUAUGCUAAUCCCAAAAGCCUCUCUCAGUUCGGAUCGAAGUCUGCAACCCGACUUCGUGAAGCUGGAUUCGCUAGUAAUCGCGCAUCAGCCACGGCGCGGUGAAUACGUUCCCGGGCCUUGUACACACCGCCCGUCAAGCCAUGGGAGCCGGGGGUACCUGAAGUACGUAACCGCAAGGAUCGUCCUAGGGUAAAACUGGUGACUGGGGCU